RNAcentral lists this ribosomal RNA (232 nucleotides) under uncultured bacterium. RNAcentral's name for it is "partial 16S ribosomal RNA". It matches the Rfam family "Bacterial small subunit ribosomal RNA", at positions 99 to 334 of the family's 1533-position model. The record is from RNAcentral. RNAcentral also lists the same sequence under 1 other name.
CGGACGGGUGAGUAAUGUCUGGGAAACUGCCUGAUGGAGGGGGAUAACUACUGGAAACGGUAGCUAAUACCGCAUAACGUCGCAAGACCAAAGAGGGGGACCUUCGGGCCUCUUGCCAUCGGAUGUGCCCAGAUGGGAUUAGCUAGUAGGUGGGGUAACGGCUCACCUAGGCGACGAUCCCUAGCUGGUCUGAGAGGAUGACCAGCCACACUGGAACUGAGACACGGUCCAG